AAGACAGCUGGGUGGUCUGACUGAAGCUUCAGUGUUUCAGAGGGGGCUCAAGAGAAGAGAGGGAACUGACACUGCUUUGUUGAUAAUUAAACCCGAUUUUUGUUUUGUGGAAGUUGGCAAGUUGCUAAAAAAGCAUUCAAAGUAGUAAAGAGGUCAUGAGAAAGUCACAGUGGAAACCGG
This is a long non-coding RNA of Cervus elaphus (red deer), 180 nucleotides long. RefSeq lists it as uncharacterized. The record is from RefSeq and is a predicted model, not a curated record. The transcript is spliced from 3 exons. Lineage: Eukaryota; Metazoa; Chordata; Mammalia; Artiodactyla; Cervidae.